RNAcentral lists this ribosomal RNA (180 nucleotides) under Escherichia coli. Its description in RNAcentral is "partial 16S ribosomal RNA". It matches the Rfam family "Bacterial small subunit ribosomal RNA", at positions 1354 to 1533 of the family's 1533-position model. The record is from RNAcentral. Lineage: Bacteria; Pseudomonadati; Pseudomonadota; Gammaproteobacteria; Enterobacterales; Enterobacteriaceae. RNAcentral also lists the same sequence under 6 other names.
AUGCCACGGUGAAUACGUUCCCGGGCCUUGUACACACCGCCCGUCACACCAUGGGAGUGGGUUGCAAAAGAAGUAGGUAGCUUAACCUUCGGGAGGGCGCUUACCACUUUGUGAUUCAUGACUGGGGUGAAGUCGUAACAAGGUAACCGUAGGGGAACCUGCGGUUGGAUCACCUCCUUA